RNAcentral lists this ribosomal RNA (301 nucleotides) under uncultured bacterium. Its description in RNAcentral is "partial 16S ribosomal RNA". It matches the Rfam family "Bacterial small subunit ribosomal RNA", at positions 509 to 808 of the family's 1533-position model. The record is from RNAcentral.
CAGCAGCCACGGUAAUACGAAGGGUGCAAGCGUUACUCGGAAUUACUGGGCGUAAAGCGUGCGUAGGUGGUGGUUUAAGUCCGUUGUGAAAGCCCUGGGCUCAACCUGGGAAUUGCAGUGGAUACUGGGUCACUAGAGUGUGGUAGAGGAUAGUGGAAUUUCCGGUGUAGCAGUGAAAUGCGUAGAGAUCGGAAGGAACAUCUGUGGCGAAGGCGACUAUCUGGGCCAACACUGACACUGAGGCACGAAAGCGUGGGGAGCAAACAGGAUUAGAUACCCCUGUAGUCCCUGUCUUUAUACC